RNAcentral lists this ribosomal RNA (468 nucleotides) under uncultured bacterium. RNAcentral's name for it is "partial 16S ribosomal RNA". It matches the Rfam family "Bacterial small subunit ribosomal RNA", at positions 28 to 507 of the family's 1533-position model. The record is from RNAcentral.
GACGAACGCUGGCGGCGUGCUUAACACAUGCAAGUCGAACGGAAAGGCCCUGCUUUUGUGGGGUGCUCGAGUGGCGAACGGGUGAGUAACACGUGAGUAACCUGCCCUUGACUUUGGGAUAACUUCAGGAAACUGGGGCUAAUACAGGAUAGGAUCUCCUGCUGCAUGGUGGGGGUUGGAAAGUUUCGGCCGUUGGGGAUCGACUCGCGGCUUAUCAGCUUGUUGGUGGGGUAGUGGCUUACCAAGGCUUUGACGGGUAGCCGGCCUGGGAGGGUGACCGGGCACAUUGGGACUGCGAUACGGACCAGACGCGAACGGGAGGCAGUAGUGGGGAAUCUGGCACAAUGGGCGGACGCGUGAUGCAGAAACGCUGCGUGCGGGAUGACGGCCUUCGGGUUGUAAACCGCUUUCGCCUGUGACGAAGCGUGAGUGACGGUAAUGGGUAAAGAAGCACCGGCUAACUACGUG